This 539-nucleotide long non-coding RNA is filed under the name Pan troglodytes (chimpanzee). RNAcentral describes it as "long non-coding RNA NONPTRT010175". Lineage: Eukaryota; Metazoa; Chordata; Mammalia; Primates; Hominidae. The record is from RNAcentral.
GGGUCGGGGGGAGAGCACUAACAGGUGAACAGCAAGCUGCUGACCCUGAGAAGCGAAACAGGACCUGGGCAACAUGCACACGCCUCUCUCCGGGACUCACUCCCUUUCCUCUUCCCAGUAACCUGGGGUACACAUUUCUGAUGCCUGGAAAGUACACAGGACUGAUAACUGAUAUGCCCCAUGCCCUCUUCCUCUCCCCUGUCAUGUAUUCAAUUUGGUGAGGAAGGUCAAAAGACUAGGCUGAAGUGGGCAGGAGGAAGCUAUGCGGGCGGGGAUGUGGAACACCCUGCAGUCAGCUCCCUGGUGCUGACUUGUUGGUAGGAGGUGUCUGUAAGCCUAGCAAGGAGUGACAGCAAUGCCAUCAUGCAGCUUCCAGUCACCUCCUUGUGGGCUGGCCAGGAAGAGGCAGAAGCUAGUUCCGCCCAAGCCAGAAUAAUCUGCUGCACAUCCUGUCCCCAGCCCUCUGCGGCAUUCUCAUCUGCCACCCACGGGGAGCAAAUGAGACACACACACACACACACACACCAUGGGAAUUCCAA